AUGGAUCCAUCCCAUAUAGUUGCUUAUGCAAACUUGAGUUGUGAAAUAAGAAUAAUACAAGCUCGAAACGUCGAAUUCAUCAAGUCCACUAAAAACUUGUUUGCUAGGUUGUAUGUUCCAACAGGAAACAACAAAAGAAUUCAACUCAACACCAAAAAUGUUUCGGACAAAUCUUUUAAUCUAGAUUGUUCUUGCCCACAAGAAUUCUUGGAAAACCUUAAUGAACAAAGCCUAGUGUUGGAGCUAAGGCAGAGGAAGAUGUGGGGGUCACAACUUAUUGGAAAAGGUGAGAUUCCAUGGAAGGUGAUACUCGAAUCACAAAACAUGGAGUUAAAAGAAUGGUUGAAAAUGGAUUUGGCGAGUGGAAGUGAUUGCAAAGAGGUUAUGUUG
Non-coding RNA from Vicia faba (fava bean), 390 nucleotides. Lineage: Eukaryota; Viridiplantae; Streptophyta; Magnoliopsida; Fabales; Fabaceae. The record is from the annotation of a GenBank genome assembly.